CUUCCCGUAGCUCACUCGGAUAGAGCGGGUCCCUCCUAAGGACCAGGCAAUGUGUUCAAAUCACAUCGGGAAGGCCA
This 77-nucleotide transfer RNA is filed under the name Fusobacterium necrophorum. Its description in RNAcentral is "tRNA-Arg". RNAcentral also lists the same sequence under 1 other name. The record is from RNAcentral. Lineage: Bacteria; Fusobacteriati; Fusobacteriota; Fusobacteriia; Fusobacteriales; Fusobacteriaceae.